GCUGGGCACGGUGGGACCUGUAGUCCCAGCUACUCGGGAGGCUGAGGUGGGAGGAUCGCUUGAGCCCAGGAGUUUUGGGCUGUAGUGCACUGUCAAUUGGGUGCCCACACUAAGUUCGGCAUCAAUACGGUGACCUCCCAGGAGCAGGGGACCACCAGCUUGCCUAAGGAGAGGUGAACCGGCCCAGGUCGGAAAUGGAGCAGGUCAAAACUCCCGUGCUGAUCAGUAGUAGGAUCGCGCCUGUGAAUAGUCACUGCACUCCGUGUGGGCAACAUAGCGAGACCCCGUCUCUA
This 293-nucleotide signal recognition particle RNA is filed under the name Callithrix jacchus (white-tufted-ear marmoset). Its description in RNAcentral is "Metazoan signal recognition particle RNA (ENSCJAG00000076254.1)". It matches the Rfam family "Metazoan signal recognition particle RNA". From Rfam's summary of the family: The signal recognition particle (SRP) is a universally conserved ribonucleoprotein. It is involved in the co-translational targeting of proteins to membranes. The record is from Rfam by way of RNAcentral. Lineage: Eukaryota; Metazoa; Chordata; Mammalia; Primates; Cebidae.